Ruditapes philippinarum (Manila clam) is the source of this 802-nucleotide long non-coding RNA. RefSeq lists it as uncharacterized. The record is from RefSeq and is a predicted model, not a curated record. Lineage: Eukaryota; Metazoa; Mollusca; Bivalvia; Venerida; Veneridae. The transcript is spliced from 4 exons.
CUUUAUAUUAACGCUUUAAAUGUUAGUUUAUAUGUUUGCUUGUUUGUUGUUUAUUUUUUAGUUCUUAAUUAAUAAUAUUUAUUAAUAAAUUGAUAUUAGUCAAACCCCGUUUAUAAAAUAACGCUGGUCAGGGGAAGUAAUUGUUGCGGUCUAUGAUUUUGUUUGUUUGUCUAUGAUUAUCGUUCGUGCAAAUGGUGGCGCUGUUUGGAAAAUUUGAAAACAACACGAUUGGCAAUUUAUUUGGAUUUCGAAGAUCCUGGUCCUGGCUGAAAUUUAGAGUAUUGCAGCUGUAGUCUGUAUACCAUACACUCAACAUGAAAAGGACUGUCAGGAUGCUGCACAAAAUGGUCUUAACUAGAGCCUAGAAUGUUAAUUUCUUGGGAAUAUGCUGAAAGGAACUGACGGGGAGCAGUUUUUCUUACCAAUGAUAGAAGCAGUAAGAGACAGCCAAAGAGGUACUCAAACACCUGACAUACCCUGAAAGAUCUAGAAGAAAAGAUUGGAACAGAUUGUAGCUUAAUUGUUAAAACUAUUAAAGUGAAUUUAAGCUGCACUUGAACUGUAUUUUUUAAAUAAAAUAUCUGAUGUAUUUAAUAUUGUCUUGAUAUUUUGUUAAACUUAGUAACUUUGCUUUAUAUCCAAAAAUUAAAGUAUGGUGGGUUUUCAACGUUGAAAUGACAUUGAAACUUCAACGUUGUACCAACGUUGGUUUUCAACCUUGAAAUGACAUUGAAAAUUCAACGUUGUACCAACGUUGAAGCUGCAACGUUGUAUCAACUUUGAAAUUUCAACGUUGUUUCAA